RNAcentral lists this ribosomal RNA (635 nucleotides) under uncultured bacterium. RNAcentral's name for it is "bacterial SSU rRNA". It matches the Rfam family "Bacterial small subunit ribosomal RNA", at positions 9 to 688 of the family's 1533-position model. The record is from RNAcentral.
GAGUUUGAUCCUGGCUCAGGAUGAACGCUGGCGGUAUGCCUAACACAUGCAAGUCGAACGGAACCUUCGGGUUUAGUGGCGGACGGGUGAGUAACGCGUGAGAAUCUGCCUUCAGGAUGGGGACAACAAUUGGAAACGAUUGCUAAUACCCGAUAUGACGAAAGUUGAAAGAUUUAUCGCCUGGAGAUGAGCUCGCGUCAGAUUAGCUAGAUGGUGUGAUAAAGGCGCACCAUGGCGACGAUCUGUAGCUGGUCUGAGAGGAUGAGCAGCCACACUGGGACUGAGACACGGCCCAGACUCCUACGGGAGGCAGCAGUGGGGAAUUUUCCGCAAUGGGCGCAAGCCUGACGGAGCAAUACCGCGUGAGGGAGGAAGGCUCUUGGGUCGUAAACCUCUUUUCUCAGGGAAGAACAAAAUGACGGUACCUGAGGAAUCAGCAUCGGCUAACUCCGUGCCAGCAGCCGCGGUAAUACGGAGGAUGCAAGCGUUAUCCGGAAUGAUUGGGCGUAAAGCGUCCGUAGGUGGUUAUGUAAGUCUGUGGUUAAAGCGUGGGGCUCAACCCCAUAAAGGCCAUGGAAACUACAAGACUUGAGUGAAGUAGGGGUAGAGGGAAUUCCCAGUGUAGCGGUGAAAUG